AAGCAGAGAAGCGAAUCGCAUCCAGUUUCGACCUGGAAAAUGACCAAUAGUCCCUGCUUU
Molecule: transfer RNA, 60 nt
Filed under: Occasjapyx japonicus
Lineage: Eukaryota; Metazoa; Arthropoda; Diplura; Dicellurata; Japygidae
Description: tRNA-Arg
Source: RNAcentral